Molecule: long non-coding RNA, 6504 nt
Filed under: Gallus gallus (chicken)
Lineage: Eukaryota; Metazoa; Chordata; Aves; Galliformes; Phasianidae
Description: lncRNA (ENSGALG00010004684.1)
Source: RNAcentral
CUCUUUGUUGCAUUGCAUUUGGACUAUGCUCUAGCUAUCAUCUGUGUCCUUACUAAAGCAUUUCCUGCUUUGUAAGUGUCAGUGUAUUCUUGUGUAUUAGUAUCCGUGACUCUGCAAUGCAGUGUGAGCAGUGGGGUGAUGAUCAAAACCCAUGGAUUGUGUCAUUUUGGGUGAAGAACAGUACACCUGUGACCCGGCUGUGCUCAGGCAGCCAUGGGUAUGGAGUAAUGAUAACAAAAAGAUAGCCUCCAGAUACUCAUCACAUGCCAACAGGAUUACGUCUGGAAAGUGUCUCCCUCUCUGCUUCUCCCUCUCUGCAAGACCUCCUGGCUCAUACAGUUCCGAUGCAGUGGAGCAUGGCGUCGUGAGAUGCUUAUUCUCGAAUUUAAAUGGAGUGAAACGAUAGCGAUCCUCUGCGAAAAUAAGAAUACCGUCCCAGUCAGGCUUGGACCACCUGCGAUGUCACCAGAAGGAGCAUAAACAUUCAACACAGCUUCUUAUUUCAUCAAGCUGAACCUGCUGAUGAAGACUUCUUCCUACAGCUAUGGGAGGCAUUGCAAUUGCAGGCUCUUCUCCUGCUGGGAGACUUCAACCACCCUAACAUCUCCUGGAAAAGUAGCACAGCAAGCUGUAGGCAAUCCAGAACUCUCCAGGAAUCUAUCAAGGAUAACCUCUUGAACCAAGUAAAAGACAGGGAAUUGGAUAGGAUGACCUUUAAAGAUCUGUUCCAACUCAAACAAUUAUAUGGUUCUAUGAUUAUAUGUUUAACACCUCAAUUCUUUUACAACUAUUUUGCACCUUAUCGAUUGCAGAUUAACAGUAGGAGUUCUCCUUUUAUUGAUAUAUUUUCCUGUCUCAACUUUAUGAACCAGUAUGAAAUUCUCCCAUUUACAUCUCUUGUGUGGUGUCCUUUGCACUUGUUUUACUAUAACAGAUUGCAUUUCUCUAACUUCCAGAUCAAGUUAACUGAAGCUACGUGUAUAUUUCUGUGUAUUAAAUCCUAAUUCCCUUUUUGUAUUACAUUUACUACAUUUUCUAUAUCUUUAUCAAAUUAGCAAUCUGAUUGAAGAUUCUGUCAUCAGCUUAAUUUUCUAAAGUGCUGUUAAACAUGACACAUUUGUUUUGUCUCUAUACUUGAGUUUCAGUUCACAGAAAACUUUAACUCUCUAUUUGUUCUCUAUUAUAUUCACAUUACAUCUUUAAGAAGAAAUUAUGAAAAAUAACAGUGAAUACUGUUGAUUAUAAAGAAGUUGUUCCUAAUGACUCUCUACAAGGACAUAUUUACAGAUUACUCAAGCUGUAGACACCUCAAGUGGGCUGUAAUGUAAGAAUCACAUCAUCUGACAUUUGACGCUACUAUGGUACCUAUAAUAUCAACUUCAUCAUACACGGAAGUGUGUAUAGUAAGUCUUCUAGCAAAACUUCCUGGUUUAUAAUCAGUAAAAAGAAUGAACUGCCUCUGAAGAAGGUUCAGCACACCUGAGUUAGUCCUGACUCUGAGUCAUCUAUUAAAUUAUAUUUCUAAAAUUAGUUAGGGUAAAUACUAAGAGCAAGAUUUCCAGAAGAUGACUGUAUUUGCAAACAUUUACAGAAUAUUUAAGGCUCUCAGAGAGGUCUGAAGGCUAUGAGAACAUAAUCUGAAAAGAGAACAAGAUAGAUUAUUCUAAAGAAGACAGUCUCAUUAUAUUCUGCUAGUAGUGGAUGAGGGAAAAAAAAAAACAAAAAACAGUCUUCAUACCUGCCAUCUCUAAUACUUUCAAGUGAGAAUAACAAACUAAAUAUUUGAUACUUCCAAGAUUCAUUAGUGAAGGAGAUCUUAAUUAAAAUCUGUACAAAAUAUUUCAACAGAAAAAUGUCAACAUUUUCAUUUGUCUCUCUUGAAUUGAUUGUGCUCACAUACAGGAAAUGUCAGAAUUUCUCAAUAUAAAUGUAUAAAUAUUGACAACUUUCAGGGUUCUUUUGCACUGUACACCUAAAAAAGGUGAAUGUCAGUGACUUCAUGAGUCUUGAGCAAGACUAGAGGGACUUUCUCAUCUCUGAUGUGUAACUUCGCAAAGCUGUAAUUUUUACAAAAUUUGUCAGAUGGAUAAUAUUUUUUCAUAAACUGAAGUAUGUUAAAGAAUGACAGGCCUUUCAUAUUUUAUGAUACCUUAAUGAUAACUGCACUGAGCGCUGAAUAAGGAUAGCAUUAAUAAAUACUUAUCCAUCACUAUUAUUAGGAAACACUUUUGCAAAAUAAAUAUGUAUGUCUAAUUAGCACUUUGAAAAUUGAUGAAUGUAUGUAAUGUUGAAACAGAAUGAUUAUUUCUUUCCAUAAGAUUAUGAAUAUUUACUUACACGUAGAAAGAAGAAACUACUUAUAGAUCAAAGAUGAGCUAGCAACUCUCACAGAAAAACUGUCAGAUUUACAAUUUUUUUGGCAUUUAAUAUAUAUUUUUUUUUCCUGAAGACAUUCUUUUAAGUCAGAAUUUUGUAAAAAAUUUUCUGACCUUGUGACUGAAGAGCAGAGCCUGAACAUCACAAGCUUUGGAUAUACCUUACAGAUUCAAAAUUGAAGUGAAGGCAAAGUAUCUUUCAUUUAUUUGGUCUUUAUCAUUCUAAAGUUAUCCUUUCUGGCUGGCAUUAACACAGCAUAUUCAUGUCCCCUAAGGCAAAACUACCAACAAUGACAAUUUGUCUGGCUGCAUGGCUUCAAUUUUGAAUCUGUAUAUCUACAGUCAGAAUUUGAAGUAGACUAAGAGCCUGCUUCAGAAUUUAGGGGGAAUAAGGCUCAUGGGUGAACACUGCAGGCCAUUUAGAGUACCAGGUCCAGAAAGUAGGUUCAGAUGUUCUGGAUAUGAACAGAUGAGUAGAUGGGGUAGCAAGAACAAGAGCCUUGCAUUUUGCCUUUGCUACCCAGCAGACCUGGAUGUGCUGAGCAGGUUCUGAUAAUGUGUUGGUGGGAUCUCAUAGUCUAAUAAUCUUUAAAAAGAAUAAUCUCUUUAAAGAAAUUUUUUCUUCUAUGCAUGAAACUGUAGCUUUCUGGAUAUGGUGCAGGCAGCCACAGUGGGAGAAGAGGCUGAUAUAUAUUCAUUUUAUUAUUCAAAUUCACACAGUUUGUGCUUUGUUUUUAAGAUAUGUCAUGUUUUAUCUCAUGUCUUUAAGACACAUUUGUUAGUGAGAUAUUAUGUAAAAGAAAAAUUUGAAAUUCAGUCAAAGUGAAAGGUGCUUUGGAAAGCUAUGCUGACACGCAUAGCAGGCAUGUUUAGAAAUGAUUCUAAUUUGAAUAGAUUGUCUAGAUAUUGCAUCAAUAAAAGUAACACUAAGGAGACAGAAUGAUGAUACUUUGUCAAGCUUCAGGAAAAAAAAAUGCAAUCAAACUGUUUCCCAAGACUAUCAAUUGUACACAAAGAUAUUAAUUGACCAUAAAACAGUUUUUUUAUUUCCUAAACUCUUGUCUUAACAUUUCCUAAAUUAACUGUACUGAGGAGCUACAAAGUUUGUAGCUCAUUUAUUUUGGGAAAAACAUUUUGUAAAAUGCUACUGAAGUCUGCAUUCUUUAUCACACUCUUAUAAAUGGCCACAUUCAGUGUGACUUCAAAACUGGGGGAGUAUUAUUCCUUGUUCAUGGUCUUUAUUACUCUCUCUCUCUUACAAUCUCUUUCAUUAUAUAUAUGCUCACAUAGAUACUUACACAGGUAUAUAUAUAUGUACAUAAAUAUGUAUGUGUAUGUAUUCAUUUGUGCAAAUAUGUAUAUACCUUCUUCACAUACGUAUCAAAUAUAGGGGAAAUAUUUAAGAAAAAGUCCAGAUAAGAGUAGCAAAUAUAGAGCAAAUACAUCAAAUAAUGAAAGAAGUCAUCUACUAGAUGACAGUGAGUUAGACUACCAACUCAUAGGCGAUGUAUUGUAUGUGAAUCCUUUCAUCUAAUAUUUGUAAGCUCACAGCAGGCUCAUUCUCUAGUCCAUUGCAGAAUGUUUUUAUUUAUUCACAAAGACUCAAAAAAAAAAAAAAAAAAGUAAAAAAAAAGUGUUGUUAGUAUCAAAGGAAAAUAUUGUUAGAUAUGAUUUGUUAUACAGUUCCUCUCACAUGCCAAGCAUUAAGAUCUUUUAAAAGGGUUUGUUACCACACAGAAGAUAUAAGGAACACUUCUUCCUCUAAGAAAAUCAGACUUGAAAAUUUAAGAUUUUACGGUCCAUUAACCUGCUAUUAAAGACAAACGACAGGAUUUCUUUCUGAAAUGAACUUUUCAUUGUACAAGAACUAAAGCUACAGUAACAGAAGAGAGAAAAGAGGAGGAGAAAAAAAAGGCCCAAGCAAUAAAAUGAGGCCCACAAUGUGAUUCUUAUCAAAGUCCAUGCCAUUAAAGAAAUGAAAUUGCAGCAAUACAAAGUUGUAGAUACUGAUUAUGUGUAAUGGUGCAGAACCAGGUUGCAUCAGCAUUGAAUUUCAGGCAGUUCACAUUCCAUUUUACCUGCAUUUCUGGAAAGUUGAGCCAGAGUCAACUCCCAGUAAGGAUGCAGUUGAUCACAGUGUUACAUAAAGUCAAACUGACAGAUAAGAGAAAGCAAAAGGUUCUAGGUCAUGUCUCUGCUGGGUUUUAAUUCAUUCUCAUUAGGAACAAUAAUGGACCGAAGUGCUUGUUAGAUUCUAAAACUGAGAAGCAUAUUUAUGGAAUAUGGUCACAUUGUUUGCUUAGGUAGAAGAAAGUCAAGUAAAAUACUUUUUUAUUAAUUUCAUUAAGAAAUAUCUGUCCAAAAAGAGUUCUUCUAGCGUUAAGUAACAUAUUAUCUAGGGAAGGUGAACAUGGCAUGAUAAGCAUAUAAUCAGGUGUGCUGUCUCUUUUAAUUGGGUUCAUUUCAGAAUGAGCAACAAGCAUUAGGAUGCUUUAAUUCUAUUCAUUUUAGUGAGAGCAAUAAACAUUAGGAGGUCCUUUAGUACCUUUCUCUGAAGAGGCCCACUUGACUAAAUUUGGUAUAAUUUAAACAGGAGUAACUGGAUACAAGAUUUAUUUAACCCUUUGCCUGACAAACUGUUCAUUUUAAAGUUAUCUCCGUAAAAGAAAACACUAAGUGCAUUAACGAAAAUUAGUAUUAGUUGUCAUUCUAGAUGUGAUACCGUAGCACCAAACAUAGCACAGAAGCAAUACCUCCUUUAGGGUUUAAGUUAGCAGUUGCACAGAUCUUAAAAUAUUCUGCAUAUCUAUAGGUCAGAGACAAAAUCACAAGUAGGUGAAAAUUAGUGUCUCCAUAUGUGUUGUACAAUAAGUCAUGACAAAACAGAUUACACAGAGUUUGAUGUUGACACGAUCUAUUUUGAAUAUAUGAAACUAUUCUUCCCAUUUCAUCCUCAGGCAUUUGUGGUGGCUUGACCUUAGCCAGCAGUGAAACACCUGCACGCCCCCUCAUUCAUUAUCCACCCCAGUGGAACAGGAGAAAAUGAGAAGAGUGAAAGGGAGAAAAACUGUGGAAAGAGAUAGAGACAAUUUAAUACGUGAAGGAAAUAGAUUUAAAAAAAAAAGCACAUGGUACCAAGGCAAUCUCUCACUACCCCUCAAAUAGCAUACAAAUGCCCAGAAAAGCUCAGAACAAAUGCUACCUUGGAAAACACCCCACCACCCCCAACUCAGUUUUUAUUGCUGAGCAUGGUGCUACACUAUACAGAAUAGACUUUUGGCCUUUGACCUACAUUUACCCAGUGUAACAUCAUGUUAUGCUGAAUUAUGUUAUUUUAAAGUGUUCUACUGUUGACAGAGAUUUAUUAUGGACACAGUUUAGCUCCUGUUGAAGUUAAUUUUUAAUUUUCAGGGAUUACAGCUGUACCGUGACCUAGUGUGCUACAAUUUAAGAAUAUCUUACUAUUUCUAUUGUCAAAAAUGCCAAACAGCUGUUCUAUCUUUCCAUGUAAUGGAUAUGGUAUUUCAUGUUUAACAUAAUGUACUCAAUAGGUGCCUGGUAGAGUUAAUCUUCUUAAAGUUAAUGAGAAUCUUCUCAUCAGUUUCCCUGGGAUCCGAUUUUAAUCCUGCAUCCUUUUAUUCCUUAUUUUCAGUUCAGAGUGCAGUAAUAUAACUUGGUCAAACAGCCUCUAUCUAUUUUUCUAUCAAUUAAUUCAAUCCAUCUGGCCUUUAUUAACAUAAUACCUCAGCACAUCACAAUAUUACAUGAAUGUUAUUUUUAAAAUGUGGCUGGAGUUCAACUAAGAACAAUAUCCUGCUUCUACUUUUAUACUUUUUUCUCCUAGGUCAGGAAUUUUCAACCCAUUUUACAGGGAUUUGGAAAUGUCUGUAUCCCUGAAAGUGUGUUGGUCUUUUUUUUUUUCUUUCUUUCAUUUAUGUUUGAGCCAUUUUUGUUAAAUAUGCAUAUACUACUUGACUAUAUUCCUCCAAGAAUAAAUCUGUGUUCUCUCUCAUGCUGUGACUGCUGACUCUUAGCUUCUUAUUUCUAGGAAAGCAUGUGAAAUCAUGUUGGUACACAUUAGUAUAUAUAACAUCUCUAAACAAACAUUUUAACUCAAGUGGACUGUGUA